This 21-nucleotide non-coding RNA is filed under the name Arabidopsis thaliana (thale cress). The record is from RNAcentral. Lineage: Eukaryota; Viridiplantae; Streptophyta; Magnoliopsida; Brassicales; Brassicaceae.
UAUGCCACAUGUCAAGUCUAU